GGAGAGGUGGCCGAGCCCGGCUGAAGGCGCUUGACUCGAAAUCAAGUUCACGGGGAACCGUGACGGGGGUUCAAAUCCCUCCCUCUCCGCCA
This 92-nucleotide transfer RNA is filed under the name Deltaproteobacteria bacterium. RNAcentral describes it as "tRNA-Ser". It matches the Rfam family "tRNA". Rfam says of the family: Transfer RNA (tRNA) molecules are approximately 80 nucleotides in length. RNAcentral also lists the same sequence under 1 other name. The record is from RNAcentral. Lineage: Bacteria; Pseudomonadati; Myxococcota; Myxococcia.